UACGGGGGGAGCAAGCGUUGUUCGGAUUUACUGGGCGUAAAGGGCGCGUAGGCGGCCAGCACAAGUCAGUUGUGAAAUCUCCGAGCUUAACUCGGAAAGGUCAACUGAUACUGUGCGGCUAGAGUGCGGAAGGGGCAACUGGAAUUCUUGGUGUAGCGGUGAAAUGCGUAGAUAUCAAGAGGAACACCUGCGGCGAAGGCGGGUUGCUGGGCCGACACUGACGCUGAGGCGCGGAAGCCAGGGGAGCGAACGGG
RNAcentral lists this ribosomal RNA (254 nucleotides) under uncultured bacterium. RNAcentral's name for it is "partial 16S ribosomal RNA". It matches the Rfam family "Bacterial small subunit ribosomal RNA", at positions 524 to 776 of the family's 1533-position model. The record is from RNAcentral.